Molecule: ribosomal RNA, 807 nt
Filed under: uncultured archaeon
Lineage: Archaea
Description: bacterial SSU rRNA
Rfam family: Archaeal small subunit ribosomal RNA
Source: RNAcentral
UGGAUGGGACUGCGGCCUAUCAGCUUGUUGGUGAGGUAAUGGCCCACCAAGGCUAUUACAGGUACGGGCUCUGAGAGGAGAAGCCCGGAGAUGGGUACUGAGACACGGACCCAGGCCCUAUGGGGCGCAGCAGGCGAGAAACCUUUGCAAUGUGCGCAAGCACGACAAGGUUAAUCCGAGUGGUUCCUGCUAAAGGAAUCUUUUGUUAGUUGUAAAACCACUGACGAAUAAGGGGUGGGCAAGUUCUGGUGUCAGCCGCCGCGGUAAAACCAGCACCUCAAGUGGUCAGGAGGAUUAUUGGGCCUAAAGCAUCCGUAGCCUGUUCUGUAAGUUUUCGGUUAAAUCCAUUAGCUCAACUAAUGGGCUGCCGAAAAUACUGUAGAACUAGGGAGUGGGAGAGGUAGACGGUAUUCGGUAGGAAGGGGUAAAAUCCUUUGAUCUAUUGAGGACCACCUGUGGCGAAGGCGGUCUACCAGAACACGUUCGACGGUGAGGGAUGAAAGCUGGGGGAGCAAACCGGAUUAGAUACCCGGGUAGUCCCAGCUGUAAACGAUGCAGACUCGGUGAUGCCCUGGCUUGUGGCCAGUGCAGUGCCGCAGGGAAGCCGUUAAGUUUGCCGCCUGGGAAGUACGUACGCAAGUAUGAAACUUAAAGGAAUUGGCGGGGGAGCACCACAAGGGGUGAAGCCUGCGGUUCAAUUGGAGUCAACGCCAGAAAUCUUACCCGAAGAGACAGCAGAAUGAAGGUCAAGCUGGAGACUUUACCAGACAAGCUGAGAAGUGGUGCAUGGCCGUCGCCAGCUCGUGC